RNAcentral lists this ribosomal RNA (527 nucleotides) under Talicada nyseus. Its description in RNAcentral is "partial 16S ribosomal RNA". The stretch from base 395 to 527 matches the Rfam family "Bacterial large subunit ribosomal RNA", at positions 2473 to 2606 of the family's 2925-position model. The record is from RNAcentral. Lineage: Eukaryota; Metazoa; Arthropoda; Insecta; Lepidoptera; Lycaenidae.
CAAAAACAUGUCUUUUUGUAUUUAAUUUAAAGUCUAAUCUGCCCACUGAUUUUUAAUUAAAGGGCUGCAGUAAUUUGACUGUACAAAGGUAGCAUAAUCAUUAGUCUUUUAAUUGAAGACUUGUAUGAAAGAUUUGAUGAGAUAUAAACUGUCUCUUUAUUACAAUUAAAAUUUAAUUUUUUAGUUAAAAAGCUAAAAUAUUUUUAAAAGACGAGAAGACCCUAUAGAGUUUUAUAGUUUUUAUUAUAAAAUAUUUAUAUAAAAUUUUAAUGUUAUAUUAUAAAAAUUAUUUUGUUGGGGAGAUAAAAAAAUUAAAUAAACUUUUUUAAAUAUUUUCAUGAAUAAUUGAGUAAUUGAUCCAUAUUUAUUGAUUAAAAGAAAAAAUUACCUUAGGGAUAACAGCGUAAUAUUUUUUUUUAGUACAAAUAAGAAAAAAAGUUUGCGACCUCGAUGUUGGAUUAAGAUAAAAUUUAAAUGUAAAAGUUUAAAAUUUUGAUCUGUUCGAUCAUUAAAAUCUUACAUGAUCU